RNAcentral lists this ribosomal RNA (893 nucleotides) under Polypedates leucomystax (Java whipping frog). Its description in RNAcentral is "partial 16S ribosomal RNA". It matches the Rfam family "Bacterial large subunit ribosomal RNA", at positions 1111 to 2606 of the family's 2925-position model. Lineage: Eukaryota; Metazoa; Chordata; Amphibia; Anura; Rhacophoridae. The record is from RNAcentral.
AGCAGCCACCUUUUAAAAAGCGUCAAAGCUUAACCUAAUUCCUCUAAAAUACCAUUAACCUUAAUGAACCCCUAAUCUAUAAUGAAUGACCCCAUAUAAAUAUGGAAGACACCAUGCUAGGAUAAGUAACAAGAAUUAAUAAUUCUCCAAAAUGCAAACAUACACCAGCAUGGAUAAACCAUUGGUAAUUACCGAAUCUGAACUUACUGCAACAACACUUACAAGAAAACCAUGCAGUAUUUGCUCGUUAACCUAACACUAGUGCAUUUCAGGAAAGAUUUAAAAAAAGAGAAGGAAUUCGGCAAAUGAAAGCCCCGCCUGUUUACCAAAAACAUCGCCUCUUGAUUUAUGAUAAGAGGUCCAGCCUGCCCAGUGAAUUUUUAACGGCCGCGGUAUCCUAACCGCGCGAAGGUAGCAUAAUCACUUGUUCUUUAAAUGGGGACUCGUAUCAACGGCAUCACGAGGGUUUUACUGUCUCCUCUUUUUGAUCAGUGAAAUUGAUCUUCCCGUGAAGAAGCGGGAAUACUCAUAUAAGACGAGAAGACCCCAUGGAGCUUAAAACCAAAUAGUAACUUAACCACAUAUUUCCUUAUAACUUUAAGCCUAUACUAUGAGGUUUUUGGUUGGGGUGACCGCGGAGUAGAACAUAUCCUCCACGACGGAAAGACUACAAUCUUUAUUUAAGAACCACAGUUCUAAAAAUUAGCAUACUAACGUUUACUGACCCGAUAAUCGAUCAACGGAACAAGUUACCCUGGGGAUAACAGCGCAAUCUACUUCAAGAGCCCAUAUCGACGAGUAGGCUUACGACCUCGAUGUUGGAUCAGGGUAUCCCAGUGGUGCAGCCAUUACUGAAGGUUCGUUUGUUCAACGAUUAAAACCCUACGUGAUCU